UACGUAGGGUGCAAGCGUUAAUCGGAAUUACUGGGCGUAAAGCGUGCGCAGGCGGUUUUGUAAGACAGGCGUGAAAUCCCCGGGCUUAACCUGGGAAUGGCGCUUGUGACUGCAAAGCUGGAGUGCGGCAGAGGGGGAUGGAAUUCCGCGUGUAGCAGUGAAAUGCGUAGAUAUGCGGAGGAACACCGAUGGCGAAGGCAAUCCCCUAGGCCUGCACUGACGCGCAUGCACGAAAGCGUGGGGAGCAAACAGG
This 253-nucleotide ribosomal RNA is filed under the name uncultured bacterium. RNAcentral describes it as "partial 16S ribosomal RNA". It matches the Rfam family "Bacterial small subunit ribosomal RNA", at positions 524 to 776 of the family's 1533-position model. The record is from RNAcentral.